Molecule: ribosomal RNA, 273 nt
Filed under: uncultured Inquilinus sp.
Lineage: Bacteria; Pseudomonadati; Pseudomonadota; Alphaproteobacteria; Rhodospirillales; Rhodospirillaceae
Description: partial 16S ribosomal RNA
Rfam family: Bacterial small subunit ribosomal RNA
Source: RNAcentral
UACGGAGGGGGCAAGCGUUGUUCGGAAUUACUGGGCGUAAAGGGCGCGUAGGCGGCCGGUCGCGUCAGGUGUGAAAGCCCCGGGCUCAACCUGGGAGGUGCACUUGAUACGGGCUGGCUGGAGGCCGAGAGAGGUGAGUGGAAUUCCCAGUGUAGAGGUGAAAUUCGUAGAUAUUGGGAAGAACACCAGUGGCGAAGGCGGCUCACUGGCUCGGUCCUGACGCUGAGGCGCGAAAGCGUGGGGAGCAAACAGGAUUAGAAACCCCAGUAGUCC